Long non-coding RNA from Oreochromis niloticus (Nile tilapia), 626 nucleotides. RefSeq lists it as uncharacterized. The record is from RefSeq and is a predicted model, not a curated record. The transcript is spliced from 2 exons. NCBI's taxonomy places the organism in Eukaryota, Metazoa, Chordata, Actinopteri, Cichliformes, Cichlidae.
GUGGCUGCAAGGGAUGGGAUUUCUAUAUUCACUGUUCUACUCUAUCAGUAAAUGAAGAGAUGCUAUUACCAGUUAAUUCAAUGAAGUUUUAUUUUUAUAGCACCAAAUCACACAACUCACAACUUAAGGCACUUUUUACUCUUAAGAUAAAAACCUUUUAAUAAUAUAAAGAAGACCACAACAAUCAGUUGAGCAAGCACUUGGCGACAGUGGGAAGGAAAAACUCCCUUUUAACAGGAAGAAACCUCCAGCAGAACCAAUGCAGCGUGGUGCAUAAAUAGUGAGUGAGAGUGUGUGUUGCUCAGGAAUAUGUUGUGUCCACAUCUUGUGACUAAACCUGUUGUGUUUAAUCACAUUAAUGAUGGGGUCUAUAGGGUAAGUGCCUGGAGGAUAACACAGAAUGCACAUUGUGUUGUGUAUACUGAACCUUUUGAAAGGCUGAUGAUGUUUGUUGUUAUUUGGUGUCGUAUAAGCCCAGAGGACACAUCAGUCACUCUCACAUCUGCAGGUAGAUUCUCAUGGUGUAACUGGGAGAUCGUUUAUUCGUAAUCAAUAUGUAUCGUGUAUUUUGGUUGAUGUGGUUAGAAAAUGUUUUGAUAAAAUAAUUUGAACAAGCCUUAUUGAAA